This 345-nucleotide unclassified non-coding RNA is filed under the name soil metagenome. RNAcentral's name for it is "partial contains 5.8S ribosomal RNA, internal transcribed spacer 2, and large subunit ribosomal RNA". The stretch from base 1 to 120 matches the Rfam family "5.8S ribosomal RNA", at positions 35 to 154 of the family's 154-position model. The record is from RNAcentral.
GAUGAAGAACGCAGCGAAAUGCGAUACUUGGUGUGAAUUGCAGAAUUCAGUGAAUCAUCGAGUCUUUGAACGCACAUUGCGCCCCCUGGUAUUCCGGGGGGCAUGCCUGUCCGAGCGUCAUUGCUGCCCUCAAGCACGGCUUGUGUGUUGGGCCUCCGUCCUCCUCCCGGGGGACGGGCCCGAAAGGCAGCGGCGGCACCGCGUCCGGUCCUCGAGCGUAUGGGGCUUCGUCACCCGCUCUUGUAGGCCCGGCCGGCGCUUGCCGACACAUCAAUCUUUUUUCCAGGUUGACCUCGGAUCAGGUAGGGAUACCCGCUGAACUUAAGCAUAUCAAUAAGCGGAGGA